AACGAACGCUGGCGGCAGGCCUAACACAUGCAAGUCGAGCGAGGACUUCGGUUCUAGCGGCGGACGGGUGAGUAACGCGUGGGAAUGUGCCCUUCUCUACGGAAUAGCCCUGGGAAACUGGGAGUAAUACCGGAUACGCCCUAUUGGGGAAAGAUUUAUCGGAGAAGGAUCAGCCCGCGUUGGAUUAGGUAGUUGGUGGGGUAAUGGCCUACCAAGCCGACGAUCCAUAGCUGGUUUGAGAGGAUGAUCAGCCACACUGAGACUGAGACACGGCCCAGACUCCUACGGGAGGCAGCAGUGGGGAAUCUUAGACAAUGGGGGCAACCCUGAUCUAGCCAUGCCGCGUGAGUGAUGAAGGCCUUAGGGUUGUAAAGCUCUUUCAGCUGGGAAGAUAAUGACGGUACCAGCAGAAGAAGCCCCGGCUAACUCCGUG
RNAcentral lists this ribosomal RNA (433 nucleotides) under uncultured bacterium. RNAcentral describes it as "partial 16S ribosomal RNA". It matches the Rfam family "Bacterial small subunit ribosomal RNA", at positions 29 to 507 of the family's 1533-position model. The record is from RNAcentral.